ACGUAGGGUGCGAGCGUUAAUGGGAAUUACUGGGCGUAAAGCGUGCGCAGGCGGUUCGCUAAGACAGGUGUGAAAGCCCCGGGCUUAACCUGGGAAUGGCGCUUGGGACUGGCGGACUAGAGUGCGGCAGAGGGUGGUGGAAUUCCACGUGUAGCAGUGAAAUGCGUAGAGAUGUGGAGGAACACCGAUGGCGAGGGCAGCCACCUGGGCCAAUACUGACGCUCAUGCACGAAAGCGUGGGGAGCAAACAG
RNAcentral lists this ribosomal RNA (251 nucleotides) under uncultured prokaryote. RNAcentral's name for it is "partial 16S ribosomal RNA". It matches the Rfam family "Bacterial small subunit ribosomal RNA", at positions 525 to 775 of the family's 1533-position model. The record is from RNAcentral.